Molecule: long non-coding RNA, 1581 nt
Organism: Callithrix jacchus (white-tufted-ear marmoset)
Lineage: Eukaryota; Metazoa; Chordata; Mammalia; Primates; Cebidae
Source: Ensembl
GCAGCUCAGCUCACAGUUCCGGAAGAGACUACUUCCUUCUGCAUGAGGAGAGGAGAUGGGAGAGUGAAGAAAACUUUGUUUCGCCGCUUGGAUGCCAGCAGAGGAGAACAGGGUACCAGAACAGCACCUGAGCUGCAACUGGGCCCACUUGAGCUAUGGCUAGAGCUGCCAGAGUGAGUGCUCCAGCAGAAUGCAGGAAGCACAGACCUGAGACAGCCAUGGCAGCCAGCCUCAAGGUCCAGCAGGAAGCACAGACAGGAGACAGCCAUGGCAGCCAGCCUCAAGGUCCAGCAGGAAGCACAGACAGGAGACAGCCAUGGCAGCCAGCCUCAAGGUCCAGCAGGAAGCACAGACAGGAGACAGCCAUGGCAGCCAGCCUCAAGGUCCAGCAGGAAGCACAGACAGGAGACAGCCAUGGCAGCCAGCCUCAAGCUCUCUUUCACCGCUGGAAUUUCCACACUCACUGAUUCCAAGCUCAGCAUCCUCUGCUGCGUUAUCUGACAAGUGUGUAAUACGACUCUAUGCCAUGCACCUGGGGUAUUCCUAAGCUGAGGUUUGGCCUCUGUUGAUGUUCUUGAUGUUUCUGUUACUCACUUCCAUAAAGUCUAGGCAAAGGCACACAUUUGUCAUUUUAUGCAUAUUUAUGCAGUUAUCACAUGUCAAUUUAUCAUAUGUCAAUUUAUGCACUUUAUGCAUAAAUUUAUUCAUAAAUGAAAAAGAGUUGCACACAAAGCCACACUUUUUCAUUUAUGAAUAAUUUUAUGCAUAAAGUGAGGUUUGAUUUAGCAAUUCAUCAUAAGAGGUGAGAACCAGUAGGCAGCCAGCUGAAGAACAGAGGAAGUAUGAAGAGCAGUCAGCGACACUGGGGAGGACUCCAAGAAGUUCAGCUCGGCUAAAACAUAGAUUAUAUCUUACAGAGCCAUAUUGAAUUCUUAGAUUCUUAUCAGAAGGUAUCAUAGGUUAACAUAAUAAAUAUUAAUACUAUUCAGAUAUUUCAUUGCUCCUUUUACUAACAUAGGACAAUGCACUUGAACAAGUAGAACUGAUUCUGUGGGAAUAAAAAGAGCAAAGGGGCCAAGCACAGUGGCUCACGCCUAUAAUCCCCGCACUUUGGGAGGUAGAGGUGGGCGGAUCACCUGCGGUCAGGAGUUUGAGACCAGCCUGACCAACACAGCAUAACCCCGUCUCUACUAAAAAUAGAAAAAUUAGCCAGGCGUGGUGGUGCACGCCUGUAAUCCCAGCUACAAGGGAGGCUGAGGCAGGAGAAUUAGUUGAAUCUCGGAGAUGGAGGUUGCAGUGAGUCAAGAUCGCACUGCUGCACUCCAGCCUGGGCAAAAGAGCAAGGCUCUGUCUCAGGGAAAAAAGAAAAAACAGCAAAGGAGAAGGAGUCAUAGGAACUUUUUUAAAAAACAAGAAACAGCUGCUGUUAAUUAGCUGUGCGUGCUUGGAUGUGGCCCCUAACAUCUCUAGGGCUUACUUGCUCCAACUGUCGCAGACGAGAGUAAAAUUCUCUAUUCCUUAGAAUCACUUCAUGAUGCAUUUAUUUACGUACAAAUGGUAGUUGAAAGAUGACUAUUUCUC